This 1406-nucleotide ribosomal RNA is filed under the name Peronospora aff. claytoniae. RNAcentral's name for it is "LSU rRNA". It matches the Rfam family "Eukaryotic large subunit ribosomal RNA", at positions 40 to 1233 of the family's 3401-position model. The record is from RNAcentral. Lineage: Eukaryota; Oomycota; Peronosporomycetes; Peronosporales; Peronosporaceae.
AUAUUAAUAAGCGGAGGAAAAGAAACUAACAAGGAUUCCCCUAGUAACGGCGAGUGAAGCGGGAUGAGCUCAAGCUUAAAAUCUCCGUACAAGUUUUGUACGGCGAAUUGUAGUCUAUAGAGGCGUGGUCAGCGUGGGCGCUUGGGGCAAGUUCCUUGGAAGAGGACAGCAUGGAGGGUGAUACUCCCGUUCAUCCCUGAGUGGCUCGUGCGUACGACCCGUUUUCUUUGAGUCGCGUUGUUUGGGAAUGCAGCGCAAAGUAGGUGGUAAAUUCCAUCUAAAGCUAAAUAUUGGUGCGAGACCGAUAGCGAACAAGUACCGUGAGGGAAAGAUGAAAAGAACUUUGAAAAGAGAGUUAAAGAGUACCUGAAACUGCUGAAAGGGAACCGAAUCGUUUCCAGUGUCUAUAAUCCGUGGCAUAUUUCAUUGGCGAGUAGUGUACGCGCCAGGGCUUUGACAGCGGCCUUUUGGUUGCUCUUAGCACGGGUUGCCUUGUACAUUUACUUGCUGGUGCCCUGUGCUGCGGUGGGACGUCAACGUCAGUUCGUAUGCUGCGGGAAAUGGCUGCCGAGGAGGUAGGGCUUACGCUUGCGUUUGUCUGUUAUAUCUUGGUGGACGAGUCGUCGUGGUUGGGACUGAGGUGCCUACAACGUGCUUUUGAGUGGGUUUGUGUCUCCGUGUGUACCGUGUGCGGAUAGCUUGCUAUGCGUGUGUGGUUAUGUGUGGAUUGAUGCGGGCUUUAACUUGUUGCCGUUCGGGACGUUGACGAAAUGGAGCGAUCCGACCCGUCUUGAAACACGGACCAAGGAGUCUAACAUAUGUGCAAGUGUUAGGGUGUGGAAACCCCAGCGCGAAAUGAAAGUAAAGGCCAGUGCAAGCUGUGCGAGGUAGGAAACGUUGUGGGCUCGACCUGCCGCGUGGCACUAUCGACCGAUCAUGAACCUUCGUGGUGAAAGAUUUGAGUGUGAGCACAUAUGUUGGUACCCGAAAGAUGGUGAACUAUGCCUGAGUAGGGUGAAGCCAGGGGAAACUCUGGUGGAAGCUCGUAGCGAUUCUGACGUGCAAAUCGAUCGUCAAACUUGGGUAUAGGGGCGAAAGACUAAUCGAACCAUCUAGUAGCUGGUUCCCUCCGAAAUUUCCCUCAGGAUAGCAGCAACUUAUUUACGAUAGUUUUAUGAGGUAAAGCGAAUGAUUAGAGGAUUCGGGGAAGAAACUUCCUCGACCUAUUCUCAAACUUUAAAUCUGUAAGACCUGCAGGUUUCUUAAUUGAACUUGUGGAUGUGAAUAUCAAGUUGCUAGUGGGCCAUACGGGGUAAGCUCGUCUGGCGAUGCGGGAUGAACCGAACGCAAAGUUAAAGUGCCAAAAUGCCCGCUCACCUAGAUACCAUAAAAGGUGUUGGUUCAUU